This is a non-coding RNA of Cherax quadricarinatus, 726 nucleotides long. The record is from RefSeq and is a predicted model, not a curated record. NCBI's taxonomy places the organism in Eukaryota, Metazoa, Arthropoda, Malacostraca, Decapoda, Parastacidae.
CUGGGUUAGCAGUGCUGGGGGUUGGCAGCAACACCACGCUGCUGCUGAGACUGCUGUGGUACGCAGCACGCUACGCCCCUCAUGCUGUGCUCCACUCUUCACUGAAUGCUCUUACAGCAUCUUCCAUGAAGGACUCGGAGGGUAAUGUGUGGGUGCAGGGAGGCUCACUUCUCCUGGCUCAUGGCGGAGUUUGUGUACUGGGGACUUCUCCAAGUUCAAGAAGGAGUCCAGGCAGUCAGUGUGUAGUGCUCUGGAGAGUGGGGUGAUCCAAGUCGGGUGUGGAAGCCGGGCACGGCAGCACACACCUACCCUGACAUACCCACUGCGGGCAGCAGCAUGGGCUUGUUAUGACCCAGCACAUGCACGUCCCCGCACCACCACAGACACUCUGGACAGUUUCCUUCAUGUUCCACUGGGAGACCUCACCAAGUCUAUCACAGAUGUGUUCGGGUUAGUGGUGUAUACAGAGACGUGUGGUGGGGAGCUGGAGAGUGAGGCUGAAGAUGUGAUCACCUUACAAACACUACUGCAAGGUACUGAACCUAACUCACCACCACCUGCACUCCUUCCCCACCAACAACUCAACCAGUACUUGUGUAUAGUGCGCGGACUACGUGUUGUGUUCAGCACUCAAGCUGAGAAACUCAUCCGUGGUUACUACGUGGCUACCAGGAGAAUUCGUGGUGACUGCGUACAAGGCUCUGCUGUUCCUAUUACUGCUAUAAA